AAGACAUAGUACUAUGAAUGC
Molecule: microRNA, 21 nt
Filed under: Cordylochernes scorpioides
Lineage: Eukaryota; Metazoa; Arthropoda; Arachnida; Pseudoscorpiones; Chernetidae
Source: RNAcentral